UACGUAGGUGGCAAGCGUUGUCCGGAUUUACUGGGCGUAAAGAGCGCGCAGGCGACUCGGUAAGUCUGCUGUGAAAUCUCCCGGCUUAACUGGGAGGGGUCAGCAGAUACUGUCGAGCUUGAGGCAGGUAGAGGAAGGUGGAAUUCCCGGUGUAGUGGUGAAAUGCGUAGAUAUCGGGAGGAGCACCAGUGGCGAAGGCGGCCUUCUGGGCCUGUCCUGACGCUGAGGCGCGAAAGCGUGGGGAGCGAACCGG
Molecule: ribosomal RNA, 253 nt
Filed under: uncultured bacterium
Lineage: Bacteria
Description: partial 16S ribosomal RNA
Rfam family: Bacterial small subunit ribosomal RNA
Source: RNAcentral